AGUGAACGCUGGCGGUAGGCCUAACACAUGCAAGUCGAACGGCAGCACAGUAAGAGCUUGCGCUUACGGGUGGCGAGUGGCGGACGGGUGAGGAAUACAUCGGAAUCUACUUUUUCGUGGGUGAUAACGUAGGGAAACUUACGCUAAUACCGCAUACGACCUACGGGUGAAAGCAGGGGAUCUUCAGACCUUGCGCGAUUGAAUGAGCCGAUGUUGGAUUAGCUAGUUGGCAGGGUAAAGGCCUAGCAAGGCGACGUUCCGUACCUGGUCUGAGAGGAUGAUCCGCCACACUUGCGGUGAGACACGGCCCAGACUCCUACGCGAUGGAGCAGUGGGGAAUACUGGACUAUGGGCGAAAUCCUGAACCAGCUAGGCCGCGUGAGUGAUGAUGGCCUUAGGGUUGUAAAGCUCUUUUACCCGCGAUGAUAAUGACGGUACCGGGAGAAUAAGCACCGGCUAACUCCGUG
RNAcentral lists this ribosomal RNA (467 nucleotides) under uncultured bacterium. RNAcentral's name for it is "partial 16S ribosomal RNA". It matches the Rfam family "Bacterial small subunit ribosomal RNA", at positions 29 to 507 of the family's 1533-position model. The record is from RNAcentral.